This is a non-coding RNA of Cucurbita pepo subsp. pepo (vegetable marrow), 74 nucleotides long. The record is from the annotation of a RefSeq genome assembly. Lineage: Eukaryota; Viridiplantae; Streptophyta; Magnoliopsida; Cucurbitales; Cucurbitaceae.
GUCUGGGUGGUGUAGUUGGUUAUUACGCUAGUCUCACACACUAGAUGUCCCCAGUUCGAACCCGGGCCCAGACA